This 7303-nucleotide long non-coding RNA is filed under the name Capsicum annuum. Its description in RNAcentral is "long non-coding RNA (CANN_LNC010578)". The record is from RNAcentral. Lineage: Eukaryota; Viridiplantae; Streptophyta; Magnoliopsida; Solanales; Solanaceae.
UUCUUUCAAUAUUUUUCUGGUGGUGGAGGAACUGAUGGCAAAGAGGCGAAGAAGAAGAAAGCAAAAAACUUCACAAUAAUCUCAAGUUAAAUGCUUCGUACACGCUUUUCAAGGUUGAAUCACAAAUGAAGCUUUCAUCACUGACCAACCAGCCAAACAGUAACAAAAGACACUUUCUGAGCUGGCUAUAUACUAUUAUUCAUACAUAAAUCAAAGACUAAUAUUAACUAAUGAAAUAAAGAAAAAUCUCAUAACAAGCAUAAUUUUUAAAAUAUUUCUUUGCUUAAUUACACACAUCUAAUUCAGUCCAAAAUUAAUUUCAAUUGAACUCACAAAAGCACAUCGUAAAUCCAUCUUAAUUUUUAUUGCCACACAAAUCUUGAAAUUAACUAUGGGUGUUCACUUUGAAGCAGCAGCGGCAGCUUGAAAACGAACUUGGAAAUGGGCAAGCAAUUCAUCUCUUGGAGGUAAAUAUUCCUUGUUUUGGGUGCAAUUAAUAUACUCAUCUCUCCAAGCACAAAAAUUUGGAAAUUUUUCUCUUGUAACCAAAACAAUUCCAGUUGCUUCUUCAAAAACUCCCAGCCAAAGUCCCACAAAAUUAGCAGCAAUAUCAGCAAAUCCAAAUUUGUCAGCCACAAAAAACUUCUUGUCCUUGAGCUCAUUAUCAAGAACUUUCAAUGUCUCAUAACCUUCCCCUUUAGCUUUCUCUUGCUCCUCUCCUUUGAAAAAGAAUGUUUUCGCUAUUGCUUGCAACUGCACAUAAUUCGAAACUUAAAUUGUAUAUAAAAUAUUAACAACAACUAUUCCUCCGUUCCAAAUAAGUUGUGGCUGAAUAUAUGAUUUCUCGCUGAUUGUAAUACAUCAUCUAAACUUGUCUUAGUCCGAUAUUAUUAUGGAAGUACUAGAAAUUCUCAAUAAUUUCUACUGGUAUAUAAAUCUCUAGGGACAAAAAAAAUUAAGAAAAAUAAGACCUAAAGGAAAAGUAUUACUCUGUUUGUUUCGAUUGUUUGGUUUAAUAGAAUGUGAGCGUCAAACAAACAAGUAUUUGGUGUGGAUUCGGACAUAGAAUCUUCAAAAUUUUUAAAAGUAAAAUUUAAAUAUUUAGAAACUAUAUCAAAAAUUGUUAAGUCAUGCUCAGUUAACAAUUCAGAAUAUUUAAAAAAGUAUUUGCAAAAAGGAUGAUUUAAGAAUAUAUUUUUGACUGUCCAAAUAGUAAUUAAGAUAAACAAAUUGAAACAGAACUUAAGUAGAUAUACCUUAUCAUCAAGAAACUUAGCCCAGAAACGAGCAAUAGCUCGGUCAUAAGGAUCUUUAGGCAAGAUGGAAGGACCCUCAAAUGCUUCAUCAAUGUAUUCAACAAUCACCAUAGACUCACAAAUGGGCUUCCCAUUGUGAAAGAAAACAGGAAUUUUCUUAUGAAUUGGAUUGGAUUCAAGAAGCAGAGGGCUCUUAUUUUGUAGAUUUUCUUCUAUAAAUUCAUAUUCCACACCCUUAAUUUUUAAAGCCCACUCAACUCUGUGAACGAAAGGGCUAUUCCAUAGACCAAGCAACUUAACAUCUCCCAUUUCUCAAUCUAUUUGGUUAACUGUGUUUUUGCUUUAAUCACUAAUUGAAGCAACUUAAUUUUUUUUUUUUAAAUUUGUGCUUCUGAUUUGACAACCAAUUAACUUUUGAAAAGGUAUUACAAAGUCUUUUUUUUUUUUUUUUUGGGUAAAAAUGAAAAGUUGUGUUAAAUUUAUGUCUUUAAUGCUUUUUCCUUAAUAUGUAUAUCAAAAUUCAACAAUUCAUUUAUUAUGAAACAGAGGAAGUACUAUUUUCAAAAUUGAAAUAGUCAAGUGCGAUAUUAAUUCUCUGACCGUUAAGAAUAUCAAGAGUUUAUUACUUCGUCCAUUUUUAAAAAAAUGGUCUGAUUUGACUUGAUAUGGAGUUUAAAAAAAUAAAGAAACUUUUAAAUCUUGUGGUCUUAAAUAAAAGAUACGUUAAUGCUAUGGUCUUAAGCAUGCCACGUGGAAAGUUAAAAGUAAAAAGUUGCUAAAAAUAGAAUGAGGUCAUUCUUUUUUAAAUGGAUUAAAAAGAAAAGUAGAUCCUUCUUUUUGAUACGGGGAGUACUCUUUUGUGUAUUGUACCAUCUGGAUGCAAUAAUGAAAUAUUUAUGCUUUUCCCUUUUGUAAAGAAUGAAGUUUUCUAAUUUAAUUGCUAUAUCAAUUUAAUUAUUCUAUAACACAGUCUAUUAAUUUUUAAAAAGUAUCAAUAUUAUACUGCUUCAGGGAAAGAAAAUGACAAAAUCAGGUUGCUAAAAAUUUUUUGUAAUUUAGGUGGUGCUCUAAUACAACGAAACAUAUACCAUUUUCUUAGCUAUUUGCUCCUCAAUUCUACUUUUUGCUUCAAAGACUUGUUGGUUGUGCUCCAUCCAAAUGCAAUGUGUGAAUAGUAUAUAUCAUCUUAAGUAAUUGAGCCCCUUGUGAUUUUCCUUUAGUGUUCUGCAAGAUACAAUUAAAUGUUGUUCCCAUGUUGUAUGUAGUGACUCAGUUAACUGCAUCCAGUUGAAAAGGUGUAUCUUGAUUUUUUUUUGAAAUUGUGCAAUCUUCAAAGAGGUGAGCAUUAGUUUCAUCACAUUGUUUACACAAGCUACACUUGGGUUCAACCUCAAUGUCCUAUUUCAGAAGUCGGUCAGCUAUGAAUAGUCGGCCCUGUACGUAAAUUUACAUUGUGAAAAUAGUCUUUGAUCGUGCAUAAUUGUGAAACAUUAGCCCCUUUCAGUUAUUUUUGCUUUCUCUCCUAUCAAAUGAUAGUAGAUUUGUCUUGUGGUGCCUUUGGUUCCUUUAAGAUAACUGUGACAUGUCUGUAGAAUGGUCCUCUGUGCAAACACUUUUCGAUCAUUCAAGCUGCUUGUUUAGGAGUAGUCACUAGCUAAAUUGAUUGUUCUUAACAUUGUAUCCUUCUUUGUUGCCACAUUCCAAACUGAGUUUAGUAACAACUGCUUUAUUCCACAACUCCAUAUUAAUAAGAUUAAAACCUUCUACCCUUUUUGGGGUGCAAACUUUAUCCCAAGCCACCAAAAUCUUUUUUGAUAUAACAUUAGCCUCAUCCCAUAAGUAACUUCUACAAUAACUCUCAGUUAUCUUUAGAACUUUAGCUGGUAUUAUAAAAAGUUGAUCCCAAAAAGAUUGCAUGUCAUAUAACACAGACUGGAUGAGUUGCAUUAUGCCUGCAUAAGACAGUUUUUUGGUUGUUCAUGAUGAUAUCCUUGCAAUUAUCUCUUCAAUCAAAGGCCUCCAUUGAAUUAAGGACAAUUUCUUGGUAGAAAGUGGAACACCAAUAUAUUUAAAUGGAAGUUCACCACUUGAGUGUAACGACUUGUUCGAUCGUUUUGAACACUAAAUUUAAAUAACGAGUAAUUUAAAGGAUUAAUUUAUUUUAUGAUUAAUAAAAGUAAAUUUUUUAUUUCAAAUUGGAAAUGAGCCUCAUCCAUUACUCCUUUAUUAGCCAUGUACUAGUCUAGGGUAUUAAUUAAUUAAAUAUAAAUAACAUAAAUAUCAAUCAAUUACAAUCUCUCACUUUUUAAAUUACUUUACUCUCUCUCCCUAUUAAUAUACGUAACAUAACCGACAUAUAAAUGUAUAUGAUGGGAUUUUUAUAAUAUAUUUAGGAAAUUGAGAUUUUUUAUAAUAUUAAAAAUAUAAAUUACUCCCCCGUUUAAAAAAGAAUGACCUAUUUGACUUGACACAAAGUUUAAAAAAAUAAGAAAGACUUUUGAAUUUUGUGGUCUUAAAUUAAAGUAGUGUCAAAUAUACCAAAAUAUCCUUUAAUCUUGUGAACAUAAAUAUGUCAUGUGAAAAGUUGAAAUUAAAGUAUUGUAAAAAAGGAAAGGGAUCAUUCUUUUUGAAACGAAUUAAAAAGUAAAGUAGAUCAUUCUUUUUGAAACGGAGAAAAUAUAUAUUUGUUUAAUUUUUAGAUUAAUUAAUUAUCCUCUCAACUUAUGAGAGAAGAAGAAAAUUAAAAAAAAACGGAUGAACUGCAUAGAGAAAAAUUAAGGCCAUCAGCUUCAGGUAAUAAAUUUGAGAACUUCAAAGUUUGUUCUUAUUUCUUGUUGCACGUGAUUUUGCUGGGGGGAUAGUAUUUCAUUCCUUGGCACAAUUCUCUGUUGAGUGGGAAAAGAAAAACAAAAAAUAAAAACAAAGUAAUUUUGUCUUAUUAGUACCAUGAAAAAAACGUGAAUACCAUGAAAAAAACGUGAAUACAGUAGCAGUAGCAUAUUGUGGGAAAUCUUGUUUGUACUGUAUGGAGAAAAAAUAUUUUUUUCUUCUUGAACUUAUCCAUCAAACUCACUUUAGCAUUUAAAUUUAAUUUUUGUUUAUUUAUCUCCCUUAACAUCUUUAAAGUAAAUUAUUUUCACCCCUCAAAACUGAAUACACUCUCACAAUGGAGAGUGUGUUACACCCGCUUACACUUCAAUAUCACGUCGAUGCCACGUUGGAGCCACGUAAGAAAUUAUUAUUUUUUUUAAAAAAAAUUAAUACCUCCCGCGUUAUUUUUAUAUAAUUUUUUGAAAAAAAAUAACAAAUAUCUAUACUAUUUUAUUUAUAUAAAUAUAUAUAUAUAUAAAUAUAUAUAUUUAUUUAUAUAUACAUAUAUAUAUAUAUAUUUAUAUUUAUAUAUACAUAUUUAUAUAUAUUAAAUAAAAAGUAUACCCCCACCCCCAUUUUCUUUCUUCUUCACACCCUCACCCCAUCCUGCCCACCCUGCCCCUCUUUACGUUCCCCCGUCCGCUCUCCUCCUCUAUCAAACCCACCCCACCUCCACUGUUUUUCAAUUUUCCUCCAUUAACAACCUUUCACCCUACCUUCAAUUUCAAUUUUUCCUCCACCUCCACCCCUCAUUUUUCUUCUUCUUCAAACUACCCACCCUCGUCUCCGCCCCCGCUCCCUCUAUUUCUUUCUCUUCUUCCAGCCAACCCCCAUCCCCACCUCCAAUUUUUUUUUUUUCAUUUUUCUUAAUUAACACCAUUAGAGAAUAAUCACAAAAAUAUCAAAUUAAAAUUUUUCCUCCAUUAAACAUCAUCUCAACCUUUAAUCAAACUUUCUCAAGUUUUCAUCCACCAAAUUCAUCCUUGAAAAUGUAAACAUAAUUAAAGAAUAGGGAAGAAACAAUGAACUCCAAAAAUAAAAGUUACGAAAAUUUCUUUCAAUUUUAUUAUUCUUCGAACUGAAUUAAUGAAGCAAUUUAAUGUCUUCAAUAUCUUCGUUGGAGAAUGUAUCAAUGGAGAAAAAUGAAAAAAAAUGGAGGAAAGUGUUGUUGGAGGAUGUGCUUGAGGUUGUUAAUGGAAGAAUUAAUUAUUUUAGAAAAUGGGUGUUGUUGUUUAUUGAUGUAUUGGAGAAUAAAAUGGUGUUGGGUGUGGGGUGUAGGUGUGUGGGGUGGGGAUGAGAGGUGAAGGGGGUGGGGGGUAUUGAAGAAGAAAGGAGUUUUUCUUUUAUUUGUGUGUGUGUGUGUGUGUGUAAAAAUAAGUGGGAAAAGAAGAAGAAAAAUCUGAAACGCGCCCCUUUUUUAUUUUAAAUGCCACGUCAGCAUUAGGCGGGAAAAUAAUUCACUUUAAAGAAGUUAAGGGGGGUAAAUAAAUGAAAGUUAAGUUUAAGUGCUAAAGUGAGUUUGGAGGACAAGUUCAGGGGGGAAAAUGUCUUUUCUCUACUAUAUGGCAUGCAAUCUUUAUAUGGCAUGCCUUUGUGUGUAAUCUUUAUACACAAUCUUUAUGUGUAAUCUUUAUAUGCAAUCCUUAUUUGUGUAUGUUGGAGGCCGUCAGGUUGAUAUUGGGGAAAUGUGUAAUUAGUUUAUAGUGAAAUAUAGAAGAAGGGUGGAGCGGUACACCAUUGAGCUAAUUGUUGUAUAUUAUUAUUACCCAUUCUGUUUUGUGUAUUAUUUUGGAGGGUGUAAUGAAACCAAAGUCGUUUCGGGGAUCUUAUAAGAAUUUUUAUGGUAUGUGGAUGUAAUUGGAGGAGAAAAGGGUUAAAAGAACAACCUUGAUUGAUAAAUUAAGGGCUUACUACUUGGCUACUGUUUUGGUGAAGUUAAAUAGCCCAAAUGUGUUGGUUGGUUACUAAUAUUAGUUUAUCAUAUAUUUUAUUGUAGAUAAGUAAUCUAAAAGGCUGGAAGUCAAGUUGGGUUAGUUUCGGAGUUAUACAACCAGGUAUGUAAAGCUACUCUAUCUCGUAUUAUUUGGCAUGAAAUCUAGCACUUUUGGUACAACGUAAGCUUCUAAAGCUUUCCCAUAGUAAAUAAUACCUAAUAGCAGCACAUGAUCUCCCAUCUAGCUGACGACCUUGCUUCCGCUCCCCAAUGUGUUAAAAUACCUCACCACGUGCUUAUUAUCAAUUUUUCAUUUUUACAUUCACUAGUAAGUAUCUAGAGUUCUCCUUUAACUCAAAUAAGACACGUAUGUUAUUUUCAGCUCCUAAAUAUCUCAUUCGUGUACAAUCUGCUCCAUACCUCUUUGGUAUUGCAUUAAGUGUUUAUUCAUAUGUCUCUUAUUAGUAGAUUAUUGUUUCAAGGUACCAUAAUGUUAUGACCACCAAGGUAACAAUCUAAAAGGCUAAAUAAACUAAGUAACACAAUCUGUAAAACGGGUGGCAGCUCAGGGGCAAAAACCUAGCAUGGGUCGAUCCUAAUGUUCAUAUGUGGGUGGCAGCUCAGGGACAUAAGCCUAGCAUGGUCCGAUCCCGAUUUGUUUAUUUACCACUGAUUAGCUGGUCAUUUGCACUAUAUGUCUUACAAAGAUUAUGAAGUAAGAAGGGUAAAAAUGAAGAAAAGAAUGUAAUGUACCUAGUCCCACAAGUAUAUAUAAAGGUUGUCUACUAGCACUACUUAUACACUUAUCUGAUUUCUAAUGAGCUCGUGUAUCAUGUGUUGUUACCUGCGCCUUACAUAUUAAGUACAUAUUUUCGUACUAAUUAACGUCCCGCACGGGGGGCCUGUAUUUCAUGAUGCAGGCAUAAGUACUUCAGCUAAUACACCUCGCUAGUAAGAGCACGAGAUAUCCAGUGACUAUUGGUGAGAUCCAGUUUGAUUCGGGGCUUUCCGAGUUUGUUUUAUAUAUUUUGAUACUGUACAGUAGUUAAGACUAAGGCGGGGGUUUUUCCCGACCUUAACUAAGUUUCUGUGUAUCUUUUAGAGGCUUUAUAGACCAAUGUGAAGUUAAGCAUAGUAGUGUCUUGUCUCUUAGAUGUGGUGGCCCCAACGACCAAGUCUUGUAUUUAUAAUUUUGUGCUUGCCCACCUAGUUGUUCUCAUCAAUGCAUUGUAUCAUAUUUGGC